UAUUUUCAUCUCGUCUUUUAACUACCCCGGAGGACGAUACAAAAAUUAUUUACUUUUUCUGGAACGCUCUAUAUGUGAUUUUUAAUUCAGGGAAAAAUAUUUCAUUAGUUCAGUCGAUUAUACUCGUCGAUAAUAAACGAAAGUAACGAAUCUGUCAAAUCAAACUAUUUAUAUAAACAAAUCAAAUUACUUAUAUAUGCGCGUUUAUUAAACUCUGGAAAUUUAGAAGCGCUGCGAUCAGUACGUGCCAUCGAUCAAACAUUUACGCCAUGAUUAAGAGAAAAAACAAGCAAUUAUAAACAUCUAUCAAACCGACUAUCAAAUACCAAUAUACAGCGAUACACUUCAUUUCAUUCGAAACAAACAAAUUACGGUAUCGACGUACUUACUUUGAUAAUGGAAAAAGUGGAAGGAUCCAUUCGACAUGCACGUUGUUGCAUUCGCGUGUGGCGGCGACACCGAGCAAUCUAAGGGCGAUUCGCACGGUGCGACGGGAGCAACGACUCGCGAUUAACGGCGAGUUUGGUUGAGCCAAGAGAAAGCAAGGAAAUCCACGGCCACGAAAGAAACGAGACUCGAGAGUCGAUGGACCGACUGCACGGGGUCCAGGUCGACGUAGAACUAACCCGGGUUUCGGGCAAUAAAGGGGAUCAUUUUGAAUCUGUGUGCUGAAAUUUAUGGUCCCCCACCAGCCUAUGCCUGACUAUAGGGCCGCGCAGUAAAGGACGGCUAUUAAUUUUACGUUUGUCGUGGCGAACGAUUCCAGCUCCGAAGGACUUCUCUCUUCCACUGCCAAAAGAUUGAACGUUCCAACAAAUGUAAAUUUAAGCAUCGUUGCCGGGAAAAGUUCCACUGAAACUUAAUAUAAUCAUCGAUCAAUGAAAUCAUAAGGGUACUUUCAUACGUGUAUAAAGGGUGAUCAAGUUCUAGCUCCUUAACACCGGGCAGAUCAAUCAAAAUGAUUUAUUAACAAACUAGAAAACGUACCCUUUCUAUAAAUACAACUAUUUUAUACUAACCUUCUUAACUAAUUUAUCUAACCUUCUCCAAAUAGAUUUUUCUUUUAAUAAUAAAUGCCAAGAUGUAACAGUACCGUCUAAUGCACUGGAAUUUGAAGAAACUGAAUACAAUAUGAUUUUUGUAAGGAAACAGUUCCAAUUAGAAUAAACUUGACUUAGAAUAAACCACAACAAUACAGCAGUUGUUCUAAUAAACAAAUUAUGUUUCUCAUAGAAAAU
RNAcentral lists this unclassified non-coding RNA (1238 nucleotides) under Bombus terrestris (buff-tailed bumblebee). RNAcentral's name for it is "misc RNA ENSBTSG00005034918.1". The record is from RNAcentral. Lineage: Eukaryota; Metazoa; Arthropoda; Insecta; Hymenoptera; Apidae.